RNAcentral lists this ribosomal RNA (628 nucleotides) under uncultured bacterium. RNAcentral describes it as "bacterial SSU rRNA". It matches the Rfam family "Bacterial small subunit ribosomal RNA", at positions 56 to 731 of the family's 1533-position model. The record is from RNAcentral.
UGCAGUCGAGCGCACUCUUCGGAGUGAGCGGCGGACGGGUUAGUAACGCGUGGGAACGUACCCAGAUCUACGGAAUAGCCUCGGGAAACUGAGAGUAAUACCGUAUACGCCCUUCGGGGGAAAGAUUUAUCGGAUUUGGAUCGGCCCGCGUUAGAUUAGAUAGUUGGUGAGGUAACGGCUCACCAAGUCUACGAUCUAUAGCUGGUUUUAGAGGAUGAUCAGCAACACUGGGACUGAGACACGGCCCAGACUCCUACGGGAGGCAGCAGUGGGGAAUCUUGGACAAUGGGCGCAAGCCUGAUCCAGCCAUGCCGCGUGAGUGAUGAAGGCCUUAGGGUCGUAAAGCUCUUUCGCCAGAGAUGAUAAUGACAGUAUCUGGUAAAGAAACCCCGGCUAACUCCGUGCCAGCAGCCGCGGUAAUACGGAGGGGGUUAGCGUUGUUCGGAAUUACUGGGCGUAAAGCGCGCGUAGGCGGACCAAUCAGUCAGAGGUGAAAUCCCGGGGCUUAACCUCGGAACUGCCUUUGAUACUGUUGGUCUAGAGUUCGAGAGAGGUAAGUGGAAUUCCCAGUGUAGAGGUGAAAUUCGUAGAUAUUGGGAAGAACACCAGUGGCGAAGGCGGCUUACUG